UCUGCCGCGCGGCGCCGCGGCCUAUUUGUGCAACUGGUGCGAACAGACGAGGAGCUUGCUCCUUAGACGUUAGCGGCGGACGGGUGAGUAACACGUAAGGAACCUACCUAUAAGACUGGGAUAACUGCGGGAAAACGGAGCUAAGACCGGAUAACCUUUCGAACCGCAUGGUUCGAUAGUGAAAGAUGGCUUUGCUAUCACUUAUAGAUGGACCUGCGCCGUAUUAGGUAGUUGGUAAGGUAACGGCGUACCAAGGCAACCAUACGUAGCCGACUUGAGAGAGUGAUGGGCCACGCUCGACAUGCUACACGCUCCAGACUACUACGAGAGGCCGCUGUAGGGCAUCUUCCGCACUGGGCGAAAGCCUGCCGGAGCAACGCCGCGCGAGUGAUGAAGGUCUUCGGAUCGUAAAACUCUGUUAAUAGCGUAGACCAAACGUUGAAGUAACUGUGCACGUCUUGACGGUGCGUAAUUGGAAAGCCACGGCUGGGUACGUG
This 497-nucleotide ribosomal RNA is filed under the name uncultured bacterium. Its description in RNAcentral is "partial 16S ribosomal RNA". It matches the Rfam family "Bacterial small subunit ribosomal RNA", at positions 38 to 507 of the family's 1533-position model. The record is from RNAcentral.